AAUACUAUACAAAAAACAAAACUAUAGAUUACAAAAAAAAAAUCCGUCUAAUUGAUUAUGUUAAUGAAACAGCAUUUAAAAAUAGGUUCAUAGACAUAGUAACCACAAAGAAAAACAUUGAAUAAAUACAACCUACACAAGAGGCUUGAUUUGGUGAAGAUCCAUGAUAAUGCCACUCGCAACUUGAUUCAAACUUGUAUGGUCACUAUAGUGCUUCCCACAAAACUUGAACAAACGAAGACGUGUUUCAGUCAUUAAUAGCGAUGAUUCAAAAAUCAAACAUGACAUCUUCUAUAAAAGUGAGUUUUAUAAAGAAAUUAAAAAAACAAAUUCUCUCAAAUAUAUCAUAAAGUUUUAAAAUAUAUAAAUAUGUUUAAAAUUUAAAUUUUGCUGAAAGCUAUGAUAAAACACUAACAUAUGUUGAUAUCUACUAAUCACCAAAAAAAUCAGAUAAUAGUUUAAUAACUGAAACUAAAAAAUAGCAAAUAUCAAAAAAAAAAAUAUUAAUAAAAAUUCAACAUAAAUUUCCUCCGCGGCGUAGUGCGGAUAUUUACCUAGUCUAUAAUAAUAAAGUUGAAACUAGUCUCUCUAUAAUCAUCCACCUCAACAUAUAGCAUGGAGCGAUUAGUGAUAUGUGUCACCUUAAAUAAAUCUUAAACGAAACAAAAUGUUUCGUUCUUAAAAAACCAUUAUGAGCUUUUCCACUGUUUAUGACUUUUGUUUGCGUUUAUAUCAAAUUGUCCUGGCCCAUUUAAUUAAGGGCAGAACUUGGGUUCACCCCUAAGGAAUUAACGUUGUUACACCGUCCAUCGUUCUUCUUCUUCAUCGCUUUACACAAAACAUAUGAAUAUAAGGGUUUGUCAAGCUUCAAUCUCCAAUUCUGUUCUUUCAAAUCCUAAUUCAAUUUUACCUUCUCUAAGCUAAAUCAACCACGUUCAUCCAUGGAUUUCUGGAAAAAAGUAUCAAACAAGAGGAAGAAGAAGAUGGAGAAGAAGGGCUUCAAGUUAAGAAGGCUCACCAACAACCUAAUUAUGGAGUUAGAGAGAACUCAUAAUGGAGAGGUUGGGGUUGGUGCGCU
This 1078-nucleotide long non-coding RNA is filed under the name Brassica rapa (field mustard). RNAcentral's name for it is "long non-coding RNA (BRAP_LNC000445)". The record is from RNAcentral. Lineage: Eukaryota; Viridiplantae; Streptophyta; Magnoliopsida; Brassicales; Brassicaceae.